AGAGUUUGAUCAUGGCUCAGGAUGAACGCUGGCGGCGUGCUUAAUACAUGCAAGUCGAGCGGACCUUUGCCGUUUGUUGCCGGUUUCCGGCGACAAAUGGCAAAGGUUAGCGGCGAACGGGUGAGUAACGCGUGGGUAAUCUGCCCCCAAGACCGGGAUAACAGAGCGAAAGCGCUGCUAAUACCGGAUGACCUCUCUUUAUCGCAUGGUGAAGGGAGCAAAGCUACGGCGCUUGGGGAUGAGCCCGCGUUCCAUUAGCUAGUUGGUGAGGUAACAGCUCACCAAGGCGACGAUGGAUAGCCGGCCUGAGAGGGUGACCGGCCACACUGGGACUGAGACACGGCCCAGACUCCUACGGGAGGCAGCAGUAGGGAAUUUUCGGCAAUGGGGGAAACCCUGACCGAGCAACGCCGCGUGAGGGAUGAAGGCCUUCGGGUCGUAAACCUCUGUCUUUGGGGACGAUAAUGACGGUACCCGAGGAGGAAGCCCCGGCUAACUACGUGCCAGCAGCCGCGGUAAU
This 520-nucleotide ribosomal RNA is filed under the name uncultured bacterium. RNAcentral's name for it is "bacterial SSU rRNA". It matches the Rfam family "Bacterial small subunit ribosomal RNA", at positions 8 to 524 of the family's 1533-position model. The record is from RNAcentral.